AUCGGGAUAGGACUAAGACAUGCUAGUCGCGUGCUUCAGCCAAAACGAGGCACGGCACACAGCUCAGUAACACGUGGCUAAUCUGCCCUUGGGAUAGGAGUACCCCCGGGAAACUGGGGCUAAUUCCCAAUAGGUGAAGAACUCUGGAAUGAGUCUCCACCAGAAAAGAGCUUACGUUAUGCUCGUAAGUUUCGCCCAAGGAUGAGGCCGCGACCGAUCAGGUUGUUGGCGAGGUAAUGGCUCACCAAGCCUUUUACCGGUGCGGGCCGUGGGAGCGGGAGCCCGGAGAUGGGUACUGAGACAAGGACCCAGGCCCUACGGGGCGCAGCAGUCGCGAAAACUUUGCAAUAAGCGCAAGCUUGACAGGGCUAUCCCGAGUGCCAUCCGCUGAGGAAGGCUUUUACCCAGUCUAGAACGCUGGGGGAAUAAGGAGAGGGCAAGUCUGGUGUCAGCCGCCGUGGUAAUACCAGCUCUCCGAGUGGUGUGGAUGUUUAUUGGGCCUAAAGCAUCCGUAGCUGGCUAAGUUAGUCCCCUGUUAAAUCCACCGAAUUAAUCGUUGGAUCGCGGGGGAUACUGCUUGGCUAGGGGACGAGAGAGGCAGACGGUAUUUUCGGGGUAGGGGGUGAAAUCCUAUAAUCCCGGGAAGACCACCAGUGGCGAAGGCUGUCUGCUAGAACGCGCCCGACGGUGAGGGAUGAAAGCUGGGGGAGCGAACCGGAUUAGAUACCCGGGUAGUCCCAGCUGUAAACGAUGCAGACUAGGUGUUUGGACGGCCACGUGCCGUUCUAGUGCCGCAGGGAAGCUGUUAAGUCUGCCGCCUGGGGAGUACGAUCGCAAGAUUGAAACUUAAAGGAAUUGGC
This 860-nucleotide ribosomal RNA is filed under the name uncultured archaeon. RNAcentral describes it as "bacterial SSU rRNA". It matches the Rfam family "Archaeal small subunit ribosomal RNA", at positions 32 to 869 of the family's 1478-position model. The record is from RNAcentral.